Molecule: ribosomal RNA, 506 nt
Filed under: uncultured bacterium
Lineage: Bacteria
Description: partial 16S ribosomal RNA
Rfam family: Bacterial small subunit ribosomal RNA
Source: RNAcentral
AUUGAACGCUGGCGGCAGGCCUAACACAUGCAAGUCGGACGGUAGCACAGAGGAGCUUGCUCCUCGGGUGACGAGUGGCGGACGGGUGAGUAAUGUCUGGGGAUCUGCCCGAUAGAGGGGGAUAACCACUGGAAACGGUGGCUAAUACCGCAUAACGUCGCAAGACCAAAGAGGGGGACCUUCGGGCCUCUCACUAUCGGAUGAACCCAGAUGGGAUUAGCUAGUAGGCGGGGUAACGGCCCACCUAGGCGACGAUCCCUAGCUGGUCUGAGGGGAUGACGCGCCACACUGGAACUGAGAAACGGUCCAGGCUCCUACGGGAGGCAGCAGUGGGGAAUAUUGCACAAUGGGCGCAAGCCUGAUGCAGCCAUGCCGCGUGUAUGAAGAAGGCCUUCGGGUUGUAAAGUACUUUCAGCGGGGAGGAAGGCGAUAAGGUUAAUAACCUUGUCGAUUGACGUUACCCGCAGAAGAAGCACCGGCUAACUCCGUGCCAGCAGCCGCCGUAA